This 82-nucleotide transfer RNA is filed under the name Salmonella enterica subsp. enterica serovar Heidelberg. RNAcentral describes it as "tRNA-Tyr". The record is from RNAcentral. Lineage: Bacteria; Pseudomonadati; Pseudomonadota; Gammaproteobacteria; Enterobacterales; Enterobacteriaceae.
GGGUUCGAUUCGAGCGCAGCGAGAAAAGCAGACUGUAAAUCUGCCGUCAUCGACUUCGAAGGUUCGAAUCCUUCCCCCACCA